AAUAAUUUGAAAAAAUAAAUUAAUGAGAUUUGAAUUUUCCAUCAUUAUGUGGUUAUUACCUGAUCAUUGUGAAAAGCAUUCCAGUACUGGGUGGAAAUGAUAUAUUCAAAGCAGAGACUCAGUAGAUCUGAAAGGCAUAAAUAACCUGUAGGACCAGGUGGCUCAGAUGCCUGUGCUUUGUUUGCUCUCCUUCAUAUACACUAAUGGUGUCACAGAGAAUUCCUAUGUUUAGAUAACAAAGGAGGAAAAGGAAAACCAGGCUUGUGGAGUGGCUUACACCAAAUACUAGCACUGGCCAGAAGUGAUGCCUUAUAGCCUGAUUUAGAAGUGACCCUGAAAUUCAACAAUGAAUGAACAAAGAAAAUGUGGUGUGCACAUGCAAUGGAAUAAUACUCAGCCUUUAAAAGGAAGGAAAUUCUGACACAUGCUACAAUGUGGAGUUGUCCAAGAUGAAACAUGAAGACUUUAUGCUUCUUUCAUCCUUUGAACUAUUCCUUCAAGGGAAUGGAUCCAAAUUUAUCUCUUACCAGAACCCUCAGACUUGAAACCCCAGAACAUGUAAUAUUUCCCCACAUGCUCUGAGUUCCCAUGAUUCAUGGAUUGCUUUUACCAAAUCUUUCACAUCUGUCUCUUUCCUAGUCUCACCACCCUCAUCAGAACUCAAAGCAGACACAAUUGGUUCCAUGUGGACCAUCUGAAAUUGUCCCUGAUUGUGUUUAGAAUUGCAACCAGAGUAUUACUCAAACCCCAUAGCUAGCAAUUUUUAUAGGCAAUGUCAUAAGAGGUAAAUAAGGGAGGAAUUCAUGUAAGAAAACAUUUUACACUGACCUUGAACCUGGCCAUUUGGCUCCCAUAAAUCUAUUCUAUAUCAAUCUUUUUAUAUAAGUAUGAUUACUGAUGUGUUAUUAGAAAAUUAGGAAAUUCUCAAAUGACUACCUAAAUUAUGACUUAUCUUACAGUGAGAUUUCACAACUUUACAAAGAAUGAGGUAGAUCUUUUGGUGACGUUAUAGAAAGAUAAUCCCAAAAUACUGUUAAGUGAACAAAAGAAUGCUGUAUAAACUUGCAUAUAGUAUGUUUACAUUUUUCUUUUUAAAAUUCUUUUAUUCAAUUAUAAUAAUGCUAAGUGAAAUAAGUCAGAGAAAGGGAAAUAUUAUAUGACUUCACUUAUAUGUGGAAUUUAAGGAACAAAACAA
This is a long non-coding RNA of Canis lupus familiaris (dog), 1195 nucleotides long. RefSeq lists it as uncharacterized. The transcript has 3 exons. The record is from RefSeq and is a predicted model, not a curated record. Lineage: Eukaryota; Metazoa; Chordata; Mammalia; Carnivora; Canidae.